CCUACGGGUGGCUGCAGUGGGGAAUAUUGGACAAUGGGCGAAAGCCUGAUCCAGCCAUGCCGCGUGUGUGAAGAAGGCCUUCGGGUUGUAAAGCACUUUCAGUGGGGAAGAAAGCCUUGGGGCUAAUACCCUCGAGGAAGGACAUCACCCACAGAAGAAGCACCGGCUAACUCCAUGCCAGCAGCCGCGGUAAUACGGAGGGUGCGAGCGUUAAUCGGAAUUACUGGGCGUAAGGCGCGCGUAGGCGGUCUGAUAAGCCGGUUGUGAAAGCCCCGGGCUCAACCUGGGAACGGCAUCCGGAACUGUCAGGCUAGAGUGCAGGAGAGGAAGGUAGAAUUCCCGGUGUAGCGGUGAAAUGCGUAGAGAUCGGGAGGAAUACCAGUGGCGAAGGCGGCCUUCUGGACUGACACUGACGCUGAGGUGCGAAAGCGUGGGUAGCAAACAGGAUUAGAUACCCCAGUAGUC
This 465-nucleotide ribosomal RNA is filed under the name Vreelandella stevensii. RNAcentral's name for it is "partial 16S ribosomal RNA". It matches the Rfam family "Bacterial small subunit ribosomal RNA", at positions 338 to 795 of the family's 1533-position model. The record is from RNAcentral. Lineage: Bacteria; Pseudomonadati; Pseudomonadota; Gammaproteobacteria; Oceanospirillales; Halomonadaceae.